Molecule: RNA transcript, 1618 nt
Organism: Alligator sinensis (Chinese alligator)
Lineage: Eukaryota; Metazoa; Chordata; Crocodylia; Alligatoridae
Gene: POLR1C
Gene name: RNA polymerase I and III subunit C
Exons: 10
Source: RefSeq, a predicted model, not a curated record
CCCAGCGUCACGUGACGGGUAGGAGCUGCGUGCUUGCGUCACGCGGGCAAGAUGGCAGCGCCCGGCAGCGUGGAGGAGAUGCGGAGUCGCGUGGUGCUCGGCGAGUUCGGCGUCCGCCACGUGCACACCACGGACUUCCCCGGCAGCUACCCGGGACACGCCGACGCUUGGGACCCGGCCACCUUCCGCCAGGGUUUCCGCGUGGACGUGACCAACAUGGAUGAGGGGUUGCUGGAGUUUGACCUGGUGGGCAUCGAUGCGGCCAUCGCCAACGCCUUCCGCCGCAUCCUGCUGGCCGAGGUACCGACAAUGGCUGUGGAGAAAGUCUUUGUGUAUAACAACACAUCCAUUGUGCAGGAUGAGAUCCUGGCCCAUCGCUUAGGCCUUAUCCCUAUCCAGGCUGACCCUCGCCUUUUUGAGUACAGAAGCCAAGGAGAUGAGGAAGGCACAGAAAUUGAUACCCUCCAAUUCCAGUUGAAAAUCAAGUGCAGCCGAAACCCUCGGGCAGCCAAGGAGUCCUCUGACCCCAAUGAGCUCUAUAUUAAUCACAAAGUGUACAGCAAACACAUGACGUGGGUACCUCUAGGCAAUCAGGCAGACCUCUUCCCAGAUGCAUGUUUUCGACCUGUUCACGAUGACAUCCUCAUCGCCCAGUUACGGCCUGGCCAAGAAAUCGAUGUGCUUAUGCACUGUGUCAAGGGCAUCGGUAAAGAUCAUGCUAAGUUUUCUCCAGUAGCCACUGCUAGUUACCGGCUGCUGCCUGACAUCACUUUGCUACAACCCAUUGAGGGGGAGGCAGCUGAGAAGCUGAAAAAGUGCUUCUCCCCUGGAGUCAUUGAAAUCCAGGAUAUCAAAGGAAGUACUUCUUCACGCAGCUCUGUGACUGUCCUCUGCACUGUUACCUGCUGCUCCAGGGUCCAGAAACCCUCUCUUGUUGUAACUCCAGGCUGUCGGCCACUCGUUCCCAGUGGUUAUGAGUUGCUGGCUGGCCCCAGGGAAGAAGGUGGCGAGGGUGGCGAAUGCUCGGCUGGACACGUUUAGCCGGGAGAUCUUCCGGCACGAGGAGCUGAAAAAUAUGGUGCGUCUGGCACGAGUGCGGAAUCACUAUAUCUUUUCAGUGGAAUCAACUGGUAUCCUGCCUCCAGAUGUGCUGGUGAGCGAAGCCAUCAGGGUGCUGAUGGGGAAGUGUCAGCGCUUCCUGGAUGAGCUGGACUCUGUCCCCACUGACUGAACUGUGCAAGUCUGAGAAGCAGAAGCUUAUGCUGUUGGCCUGGGCUCCUUGCAGCCACCUGCAGGGAUUGUUUCCAGUCCACACGAGGCAUUGGGACCAUCUACUGUGUGCUCUCCGUUCUCUGUACAGAUUUUUUAAAACAGCUCUGAGGAGGGAAAUGCUUCAGAAUAAAGGUCUUCCUGACUGUGUUGUCAGCUGCCGCAGGCAAUGUACAGAGGAAAUUUGAUGUACUACCCAUUAGCAGCUGGCUACGAAAGUGUCCUGUGGUUCUUGUUCUCUCGCUGCAUGUAGUGCCUGAAGAGAACUAAUAGCAAGGGCAAGUGGGCCUUAGGAAAGAGUUGACUGCAAGGUGUUGCUAUUGAAUUGCUAAUAAAAUAAGGGCUGCUG